This 301-nucleotide ribosomal RNA is filed under the name uncultured bacterium. Its description in RNAcentral is "partial 16S ribosomal RNA". It matches the Rfam family "Bacterial small subunit ribosomal RNA", at positions 509 to 809 of the family's 1533-position model. The record is from RNAcentral.
CAGUAGCCACGGGAAUACAGAGGGUGCGAGCGUUAAUCGGAUUUACUGGGCGUAAAGCGUGCGUAGGCGGCUUCUUAAGUCGGAUGUGAAAUCCCUGAGCUUAACUUAGGAAUUGCAUUCGAUACUGGGAAGCUAGAGUAUGGGAGAGGAUGGUAGAAUUCCAGGUGUAGCGGUGAAAUGCGUAGAGAUCUGGAGGAAUACCGAUGGCGAAGGAAGCCAUCUGGCCUAAUACUGACGCUGAGGUACGAAAGCAUGGGGAGCAAACAGGAUUAGAUACCCCGGUAGUCCCUGUCUCUUAUAU